Molecule: ribosomal RNA, 1175 nt
Filed under: uncultured rumen bacterium
Lineage: Bacteria
Description: bacterial SSU rRNA
Rfam family: Bacterial small subunit ribosomal RNA
Source: RNAcentral
GGCUUAACACAUGCAAGUCGAGCGGAACACUUUCGGGUGUUUAGCGGCAGACGGGUGAGUAACACGUAUCCAACCUUUCCCUUACUCGGGUAUAGCCUCGGGAAACUGAGAGUAAUCCCCGAUGUGGUGCACGGAAAGCAUUUUUUGCGCACGAAAGAUUAAUCGGUAAGGGGUGGGGAUGCGUUCCAUUAGGUAGUAGGCGGGGUAACGGCCCACCUAGCCGAUGAUGGAUAGGGGUUCUGAGAGGAAGGUCCCCCACAUUGGAACUGCGACACGGUCCAAACUCCUACGGGAGGCAGCAGUGAGGAAUAUUGGUCAAUGGGCGAGAGCCUGAACCAGCCAAGUAGCGUGCAGGAUGACGGCCCUAUGGGUUGUAAACUGCUUUUGUGCGGGAAUAACGGUCUUUACGUGUAGAGAUGUGCAUGUACCGUACGAAUAAGGAUCGGCUAACUCCGUGCCAGCAGCCGCGGUAAUACGGAGGAUCCGAGCGUUAUCCGGAUUUAUUGGGUUUAAAGGGAGCGUAGGCGGAGGAUCAAGUCAGUUGUGAAAUGUAGGCGCUUAACGUCUGCACUGCAGUUGAAACUGGUUCCCUUGAGUGCGUAAGAGGCAGGCGGAAUUCGUCGUGUAGCGGUGAAAUGCUUAGAUAUGACGAAGAACUCCGAUCGCGAAGGCAGCUUGCCGGGCCGCAACUGACGCUGAAGCUCGAAGGUGCGGGUAUCGAACAGGAUUAGAUACCCUGGUAGUCCGCACAGUAAACGAUGGAUACUCGCUGUCGGCGAUAUACGGUCGGUGGCCAAGCGAAAGCGUUAAGUAUCCCACCUGGGGAGUACGCCGGCAACGGUGAAACUCAAAGGAAUUGACGGGGCCCGCACAAGCGGAGGAACAUGUGGUUAAUUCGAUGAUACGCGAGGAACCUUACCCGGGCUUGAUUGCUAGCGGCGGUUACUGGAGACAGUUUCUUCCUUCGGGACGCUAGUGAAGGUGCUGCAUGGUUGUCGUCAGCUCGUGCCGUAAGGUGUCGCCUCAGUGCCAUAACGAACGCAACCCUUGCCGUUAGUUGCCAUCAGGUAUGCUGGGCUCUCUAUUCGGACUGGCUAUCGAAGAAUGUGAGAAUGUGGGGAUGAACUCAACUACAUGCCCUAUGUGCGGAGCUCCACCGUUCAUAGCGGUGACAG